GUGGAUUUACUAGGAAGGUGGGACGUUGGAGGGGUGGCCGCAUGGAGUGAGUACUGUCUCUGGCCACCGAGCAGAGCCAGUGACAGCAGCGUCCUGGUAGGCAGGCAGGCGUAUCAGGUUUCAGAGGAUGCGGCUGGGAACGGGAGUAGAGGUGAGGGGUCGUUGCAUCUGUCGCGGUGUGUAUCUUUUGGGGGUUCAGCGCCACCAGCGACUUGGGCCUCAUUCAUCGCGCUUACAUUUCUCCACCUCAUUUGAAGAACGAGCUUCGUAGCCCACGGAGCUGAGGUAUAUGAGCUCCCUGAAAGCACAAAGCAGUUAUUUCCAUCUUCAGAUCAUUCAGAGAUUAUGAAGGCACAAACCCUGCCUUCAAUUUGCUUAUAGUCAAGUGGAGCAGACACAAGUCAAUGAUUGCAGUAUAGCCACUGAAGUAAUCUAAAAGAGGUGGGGAGGCCACAGCUUAUGUGAAUGACUUUCUCAGGAGUUAUAAAGUGAUACAGACUUAUCAGCAGGUUGCAGGUGAACAUGGCCUUGAGAUGUUUUCUUCUAAAUAAAUGAGAAAGAUGUUUCAACAAAGGCUCUUUAUGCUGAAUAAUUGUGAUGCUUGAAGUUGCUAAUCUGCUUUAAGUGGAUUUUAAAUGUCAGGCAAUUCUAGACAGUUUUUUCUUGGUCAAAUAAAAAUUUAAUUAAAACUUUA
This 694-nucleotide long non-coding RNA is filed under the name Homo sapiens (human). RNAcentral describes it as "non-protein coding SNHG21:4". The record is from RNAcentral. Lineage: Eukaryota; Metazoa; Chordata; Mammalia; Primates; Hominidae.